UACGUAGGGUGCAAGCGUUAAUCGGAAUUACUGGGCGUAAAGCGUGCGCAGGCGGUUUUGUAAGUCUGUCGUGAAAGCCCCGGGCUCAACCUGGGAAUUGCGAUGGAGACUGCAAGGCUUGAAUCUGGCAGAGGGGGGUAGAAUUCCACGUGUAGCAGUGAAAUGCGUAGAGAUGUGGAGGAACACCGAUGGCGAAGGCAGCCCCUUGGGUCAAGAUUGACGCUCAUGCACGAAAGCGUGGGGAGCAAACAGG
This 253-nucleotide ribosomal RNA is filed under the name uncultured bacterium. RNAcentral describes it as "partial 16S ribosomal RNA". It matches the Rfam family "Bacterial small subunit ribosomal RNA", at positions 524 to 776 of the family's 1533-position model. The record is from RNAcentral.